Molecule: ribosomal RNA, 403 nt
Filed under: Verrucomicrobiota bacterium
Lineage: Bacteria; Pseudomonadati; Verrucomicrobiota
Description: Verrucomicrobia bacterium partial 16S ribosomal RNA
Rfam family: Bacterial small subunit ribosomal RNA
Source: RNAcentral
UGGGGAAUAUUGCACAAUGGGCGCAAGCCUGAUGCAGCAACGCCGCGUGAACGAUGAAGGUCUUCGGAUCGUAAAGUUCUGUUGCAGGGGAAGAUAAUGACGGUACCCUGUGAGGAAGCUCCGGCUAACUACGUGCCAGCAGCCGCGGUAAUACGUAGGGGGCUAGCGUUAUCCGGAUUUACUGGGCGUAAAGGGUGCGUAGGUGGUCUUUCAAGUCGGUGGUUAAAGGCUACGGCUCAACCGUAGUUAGCCUCCGAAACUGGAAGACUUGAGUGCAGGAGAGGAAAGUGGAAUUCCCAGUGUAGCGGUGAAAUGCGUAGAUAUUAGGAGGAAUACCGGUGGCGAAGGCGACUUUCUGGACUUUUACUGACGCUCAGGUACGAAAGCGUGGGGAGCAAACAGG